RNAcentral lists this unclassified non-coding RNA (305 nucleotides) under Hevea brasiliensis (rubber tree). Lineage: Eukaryota; Viridiplantae; Streptophyta; Magnoliopsida; Malpighiales; Euphorbiaceae. The record is from RNAcentral.
AAUGUGAGCAAGACAAGUUCUAGGCGAUGAAGAUGAUCUGACCAAGUUUUACUAUAGAUGAGUAUAACAUCCAAGAAGACAAGAACAAAUCGUCUUAAGAAGGGCCGGAAUAUGUUAUUCAUUUUAGCUUGGAAAGUGGCUGGGACAUUGGUAAGGCCGAAUGGCAUGACAACAAAUUCAUAAUGCCCCAAGUGAGUGCGAAAUGCAGUUUUUGGAAUAUCAAUAGCUAAGACACGAAUUUGAUGAUAUCCAGAGCAUAAAUCAAUUUUUGAAAAAUAUCUUGCACCAUAUAAUUCAUCAAAAAG